Long non-coding RNA from Bradysia coprophila, 545 nucleotides. RefSeq lists it as uncharacterized. Lineage: Eukaryota; Metazoa; Arthropoda; Insecta; Diptera; Sciaridae. The record is from RefSeq and is a predicted model, not a curated record.
GCAUGCUGAGCAAACGCUUAUGAACUAAAGUCUUGUCAUUUGAAGAAAAAAUAAAUUACUUUGCGUCACUAACAAUCGGUUAAUAAUUUGGCACAACUUAUAUCAAAUACGUGUACGAAAACCAUAAUGGUUGCGUUGAAAAAGAAGAAAGAAUCGUACAUCCAUCUACAGAGAUCGAAAACAAAUCUGAGAAAAUCAAAUCUGAAACGUUUCAAGGUUUCCAACGAUUCAUCGCCGUUGAAAUUUCAAGCCCCCCUUUCGUUAGUAGUGGAUUCGUUAGCUGGUGGUGAAGUGAGGAAAAUCUUUAAGAAUGACCUAUACCGAAAUAAAAGCAGCAUUUCGAUGGAUCUAUCAAAUGAUUCGGAAGAAAACAUCUGGAAUAAACCAAGAGAUUUGAUCAAAGACGUCCACUGCACAAGCAACCGAAUGAAUCCAUUGUGGAAAGUACAAAUAUCGAAGAAAUAUUAUCCACAGAGAAACUUUCUUUGAAUGAAAGGAAAAUGUAGAAAAAAAUUCUAAAAAUAAAUUGAAGUCAACAACAAGUC